CCUACGGGAGGCAGCAGUGAGGAAUAUUGGUCAAUGGACGAGAGUCUGAACCAGCCAAGUAGCGUGAAGGAUGACUGCCCUAUGGGUUGUAAACUUCUUUUAUAUGGGAAUAAAAUGUUCCACGUGUGGGAUUUUGUAUGUACCAUAUGAAUAAGGAUCGGCUAACUCCGUGCAAGCAGCCGCGGUAAUACGGAGGAUCCGAGCGUUAUCCGGAUUUAUGGGGUUUAAAGGGAGCGUAGGUGGAUUGUUAAGUCAGUUGGGAAAGUUGGCGGCGCAACCGUAAAAUUGCAGUUUCAACUGGCAGUCUUGAGUACAGUCGAGGUGGGCGGAAUUCGUGGUGUAGCGGU
RNAcentral lists this ribosomal RNA (347 nucleotides) under uncultured bacterium. RNAcentral's name for it is "partial 16S ribosomal RNA". It matches the Rfam family "Bacterial small subunit ribosomal RNA", at positions 338 to 682 of the family's 1533-position model. The record is from RNAcentral.